GACGAACGCUGGCGGCGCGCUUAACACAUGCAAGUCGAACGGAAAGGCCUGCUUUCCCUUGUGGAUUGCGGGUACUCGAGUGGCGAACGGGUGAGUAACACGUGAGUGAUCUGCCCCCAACUUGGGUAUAAGCCUGGGAAACUGGGUCUAAUUCCCGAUAGGACUGCAGGGUGGUGCCUGUGGUGGCAAACGAUUUUCUAGUGGUUGGGGAUGAGCUCGCGGCCUAUCAGCUUGUUGGUGGGGUAAUGGCCUACCAAGGCGGCGACGGGUAGCCGGCCGGAGAGGGUGGACGGCCACAUUGAGACUGGGAUACGGCCCAGACUCCUGCGGGAGGCAGCAGUGGGGAAUAUAGCACAAUGGGCGGAAGCCUGAUGCAGCGACGCCGCGUGGGGGAUGACGGCCUUCGGGUUGUAAACUCCUUUCGACCGCGAGGAAGCCACCUGGUUGGAAGGGUGGUGACGGUAAUGGUAGAAGAAGCACCGGCUAACUACGUG
Molecule: ribosomal RNA, 494 nt
Filed under: uncultured bacterium
Lineage: Bacteria
Description: partial 16S ribosomal RNA
Rfam family: Bacterial small subunit ribosomal RNA
Source: RNAcentral